This 117-nucleotide ribosomal RNA is filed under the name Labrus bergylta (ballan wrasse). The record is from RNAcentral. Lineage: Eukaryota; Metazoa; Chordata; Actinopteri; Labriformes; Labridae.
GCUUACGGCCAUACCACCCUGAACACGCCCGAUCUCGUCCGAUCUCGGAAGCUAAGCAGGUCGGCCUGGUUAGUACUUGGAUGGGAGACCGCCUGGGAAUACCAGGUGCUGUAAGCU